RNAcentral lists this ribosomal RNA (347 nucleotides) under uncultured bacterium. Its description in RNAcentral is "partial 16S ribosomal RNA". It matches the Rfam family "Bacterial small subunit ribosomal RNA", at positions 338 to 682 of the family's 1533-position model. The record is from RNAcentral.
CCUACGGGUGACAGCAGUGAGGAAUAUUGGUCAAUGGGCGCAAGCCUGAACCAGCCAAGUCGCGUGAGGGAUGACGGUCCUAUGGAUUGUAAACCUCUUUUGUCGGGGAGAAAGGCCCGCCACGUGUGGCGGGAAGGAGAGUAACCGAAGAAAAAGCAGCGGAUAACUACGUGCCAGCAGCCGCGGUAAGACGGAGGAUGCGAGCGUUAUCCGGAUUUAUUGGGUGGAAGGGGUGCGGAGGCGGAAGGUUAAGUCAGCGGUCAAAUGUCGGGGCUCAACACCGGCCUGCCGUUGAAACUGGUCUUCUUGAGUGCGCUAGAAGUAUGCGGACUGCGUGGUGUAGCGGU